This 391-nucleotide ribosomal RNA is filed under the name uncultured bacterium. RNAcentral's name for it is "bacterial SSU rRNA". It matches the Rfam family "Bacterial small subunit ribosomal RNA", at positions 29 to 424 of the family's 1533-position model. The record is from RNAcentral.
AUUGAACGCUGGCGGCAUGCCUUACACAUGCAAGUCGAACGGUAACGCGGGGCAACCUGGCGACGAGUGGCGAACGGGUGAGUAAUAUAUCGGAACGUGCCCAGUAGUGGGGGAUAGCCCCGGCGAAAAGCCGGAUUAAUACCGCAUACGACCUACGGGUGAAAGCGGGGGAUCGCAAGACCUCGCGCUAUUAGAGCGGCCGAUAUCAGAUUAGGUAGUUGGUGGGGUAAAGGCCUACCAAGCCUACGAUCUGUAGCUGGUCUGAGAGGACGACCAGCCACACUGGGACUGAGACACGGCCCAGACUCCUACGGGAGGCAGCAGUGGGAAUUUUGGACAAUGGGCGCAAGCCUGAUCCAGCCAUGCCGCGUGCGGGAAGAAGGCCUCGGUU